AUACUUACCUGGCAGGGGAGACACCAUGAUCAGGCAGGUGAUUUUCCCAGGGCAAGGCUCAUCCUUUACACUCUGGGUGUGGUGACCCCUGCAAUUCCCCCACAUGUGGGAAACUCAACUGCAAAACAGUAGAGAGAAUAGGGCAGAGGAAGAGAAAUUGUCUGCUCUUUU
This is a small nuclear RNA of Pogoniulus pusillus (Red-fronted tinkerbird), 171 nucleotides long. RefSeq annotates it as U1 spliceosomal RNA. NCBI's taxonomy places the organism in Eukaryota, Metazoa, Chordata, Aves, Piciformes, Lybiidae. The record is from RefSeq and is a predicted model, not a curated record. The transcript has a single exon.